GUGACCCUGCUGUGUUCGUGUUGCUGCAACAAUGUUCUGAGCCAACACCCACUUAUAGGGUCUCGGUCUUACGGUAGUGACGCGAUAGGCCUGAGCCAAGGCGGAUCUCCCGAGGAGGGACCCAACCUGCGAAGGCAGGUUCAGAACUUCGCUGCACACGGCACGGUGGGGUAAUU
This 176-nucleotide non-coding RNA is filed under the name Anaerolineales bacterium. RNAcentral's name for it is "6S RNA". It matches the Rfam family "6S / SsrS RNA". From Rfam's summary of the family: E. coli 6S RNA was the first non coding RNA to be sequenced, but its function was unknown until recently. Lineage: Bacteria; Bacillati; Chloroflexota; Anaerolineae; Anaerolineales. The record is from RNAcentral.